GAACAAUACUCUCAAAGUUUGACCUCAAAUCAGGUAGGAAUACCCGCUGAACUUAAGCAUAUCAAUAAGCGGAGGAAAAGAAACCAACCGGGAUUGCCUUAGUAACGGCGAGUGAAGCGGCAAAAGCUCAAAUUUGAAAUCUGGUACCUUUGGUGCCCGAGUUGUAAUUUGUAGAAGGUAACUUUGGGGCUGGUCCUUGUCUAUGUUCCUUGGAACAGGACGUCAUAGAGGGUGAGAAUCCCGUGUGGCGAGGAUCCCAGUUCUUUGUAAAGUGCUUUCGAAGAGUCGAGUUGUUUGGGAAUGCAGCUCUAAGUGGGUGGUAAAUUCCAUCUAAAGCUAAAUAUUCGCGAGAGACCGAUAGCGAACAAGUACAGUGAUGGAAAGAUGAAAAGAACUUUGAAAAGAGAGUGAAAAAGUACGUGAAAUUGUUGAAAGGGAAGGGCAUUUGAUCAGACAUGGUGUUUUGCGCCCUCUGCUCCUUGUGGGUGGGGGAAUCUCGCAGCUCACUGGGCCAGCAUCAGUUUUGGCGGCAGGAUAAAUCUGCAGGAAUGUGACUUGCUUCGGUAAGUGUUAUAGCCUGUAGAAAUACUGCCAGCUGGGACUGAGGAC
RNAcentral lists this ribosomal RNA (609 nucleotides) under Torulaspora pretoriensis. Its description in RNAcentral is "LSU rRNA". It matches the Rfam family "Eukaryotic large subunit ribosomal RNA", at positions 1 to 594 of the family's 3401-position model. Lineage: Eukaryota; Fungi; Ascomycota; Saccharomycetes; Saccharomycetales; Saccharomycetaceae. The record is from RNAcentral.